This 253-nucleotide ribosomal RNA is filed under the name uncultured bacterium. Its description in RNAcentral is "partial 16S ribosomal RNA". It matches the Rfam family "Bacterial small subunit ribosomal RNA", at positions 524 to 776 of the family's 1533-position model. The record is from RNAcentral.
UACGGAGGGGACUAGCGUUGUUCGGAAUUACUGGGCGUAAAGCGCACGUAGGCGGAUUUGUAAGUCAGGGGUGAAAUCCCGGGGCUCAACCUCGGAACUGCCUUUGAUACUGCAAAUCUCGAGUCCGGAAGAGGUGAGUGGAAUUCCUAGUGUAGAGGUGAAAUUCGUAGAUAUUAGGAAGAACCCCAGUGGCGAAGGCGGCCCACUGGGCCGGUACUGACGCUGAGGUGCGAAAGCGUGGGGAGCAAACAGG